CCGGUUACGACUGCAGCACGGUGUACUUGCGGAGGAUCAUUACCUAGAGUUGUAGGCUUUGCCUGCUAUCUCUUACCCAUGUCUUUUAAGUACCUUCGUUUCCUCGGCGGGUUCGCCCGCCGAUUGGACAAUUUAAACCAUUUGCAGUUGCAAUCAGCGUCUGAAAAAACUUAAUAGUUACAACUUUCAACAACGGAUCUCUUGGUUCUGGCAUCGAUGAAGAACGCAGCGAAAUGCGAUAAGUAGUGUGAAUUGCAGAAUUCAGUGAAUCAUCGAAUCUUUGAACGCACAUUGCGCCCCUUGGUAUUCCAUGGGGCAUGCCUGUUCGAGCGUCAUUUGUACCUUCAAGCUCUGCUUGGUGUUGGGUGUUUGUCUCGCCUCUGCGUGUAGACUCGCCUCAAAACAAUUGGCAGCCGGCGUAUUGAUUUCGGAGCGCAGUACAUCUCGCGCUUUGCACUCAUAACGACGACGUCCAAAAGUACAUUUUUACACUCUUGACCUCGGAUCAGGUAGGGAUACCCGCUGAACUUAA
RNAcentral lists this ribosomal RNA (532 nucleotides) under Didymella macrostoma. RNAcentral's name for it is "eukaryotic LSU rRNA". The stretch from base 182 to 335 matches the Rfam family "5.8S ribosomal RNA". Lineage: Eukaryota; Fungi; Ascomycota; Dothideomycetes; Pleosporales; Didymellaceae. The record is from RNAcentral.